RNAcentral lists this ribosomal RNA (393 nucleotides) under uncultured bacterium. RNAcentral's name for it is "bacterial SSU rRNA". It matches the Rfam family "Bacterial small subunit ribosomal RNA", at positions 30 to 423 of the family's 1533-position model. The record is from RNAcentral.
AUUGAACGCUGGCGGCAUGCCUUACACAUGCAAGUCGAACGGCAGCACGGGAGCAAUCCUGGUGGCGAGUGGCGAACGGGUGAGUAAUAUAUCGGAACGUGCCCAGUCGUGGGGAUAACGUAGCGAAAGCUACGCUAAUACCGCAUACGAUCUAUGGAUGAAAGCGGGGGAUCGCAAGACCUCGCGCGAUUGGAGCGGCCGAUAUCAGAUUAGGUAGUUGGUGAGGUAAAGGCUCACCAAGCCGACGAUCUGUAGCUGGUCUGAGAGGACGACCAGCCACACUGGGACUGAGACACGGCCCAGACUCCUACGGGAGGCAGCAGUGGGGAAUUUUUGGACAAUGGGCGCAAGCCUGAUCCAGCAAUGCCGCGUGCAGGAUGAAGGCCUUCGGUU